This 1517-nucleotide ribosomal RNA is filed under the name uncultured bacterium. RNAcentral describes it as "16S ribosomal RNA". It matches the Rfam family "Bacterial small subunit ribosomal RNA". The record is from RNAcentral.
GAGUUUGAUCCUGGCUCAGGACGAACGCUGGCGGCGUGCCUAAUACAUGCAAGUCGAGCGCGGGAAGCAGACGGAAUCCUUCGGGAGGAAGACUGUGGAACGAGCGGCGGAUGGGUGAGUAACACGUAGGCAACCUGCCUUUAACCCGGGAAUAACGUGCCGAAAGGUGCGCUAAUGCCCGAUGAUUCGCGCGCUCUGCAUGGAGCGUGUGUUAAAGCCUUUCGGGGUGGUUGGAGAUGGGCCUGCGUGCCAUUAGCUAGUUGGUGGGGUAACGGCCUACCAAGGCGAUGAUAGCUAGGGGGUCUGAGAGGAUGAUCCCCCACACUGGGACUGAGACACGGCCCAGACUCCUACGGGAGGCAGCAGUGAGGAAUCUUGCGCAAUGGGCGAAAGCCUGACGCAGCCACGCCGCGUGCCGGAAGACGGCCCUAUGGGUUGUAAACGGCUUUUGACGGGGAAGAACGACCGGGUUUUGAUCUGGUGUGACGGUACCCGUUGAAUCAGCACCGGCUAACUCCGUGCCAGCAGCCGCGGUAAUACGGAGGGUGCAAGCGUUGUCCGGAAUCAUUGGGUGUAAAGGGUGCGUAGGCGGGAGCCUAAGUCUGAGGUGAAAUCUUACCGCUUAACGGUGAAAUGGCCUUGGAUACUGGGUUUCUUGAGUGUAGAAGAAGUAGGCGGAAUUCAUAGUGUAGCGGUGAAAUGCAUAGAUAUUAUGAAAAAACACCAGUUGCGAAGGCCGGCCCUACUGGGCUACUACUGACGCUGAAGCACGAAAACGUGGGGAGCGAACAGGAUUAGAUACCCUGGUAGUCCACGCCGUAAACGAUGCAUACUAGGCGUUUGGCCCCUUGGGGCCGGUGCUGCAGUUAACGCAUUAAGUAUGCCACCUGGGGAGUACGUCGGCAACGAUGAAACUCAAAGGAAUUGACGGGGGCCCGCACAAGCGGUGGAGCAUGUGGCUUAAUUCGAUGCAACGCGAGGAACCUUACCUGGGCUAAAUUCUCGGUGCAACCUCUGGAAACAGGGGGUCCCUUCGGGGCGCCGAGGAAGGUGCUGCAUGGCUGUCGUCAGCUCGUGCCGUGAGGUGUUGCCUUAAGUGGCGCAACGAGCGCAACCCCUGUGGUCAGUUACCAGCACGUCAUGGUGGGGACUCUGGCCAGACUGCCUACGCAAGUAGUGAGGAAGGUGGGGACGACGUCAAGUCAUCAUGGCCCUUACGUCCAGGGCUGCACACGUGCUACAAUGGAUGAUACAGAAGGCUGCCACCCGGCGACGGGGCGCAAAUCCUUAAAGUCAUUCUCAGUUCGGAUUGGAGUCUGCAACUCGACUCCAUGAAGUUGGAAUCGCUAGUAAUCGCGUAUCAGCAAUGGCGCGGUGAAUACGUUCCCGGGCCUUGUACACACCGCCCGUCAAGCGAUGGAAGUCGGGAGUACCUAAUGUCGGUGGGCCAAUCCGCUUCGGUGGAGGGCAGCUGCCUAGGGUAAGCCUGGCAACUGGCGCUAAGUCGUAACAAGGUA